AGGACGAACGCUGGCGGCGUGCUUAACACAUGCAAGUCGAACGAGAUCCUUCGGGGUCUAGUGGCGAACGGGUGAGUAACACGUGAGCAACCUGCCCAUGGCUCUGGGAUAGCCUCCGGAAACGGGGAUUAAUACCGGACAUGACCUGCUCUCGCAUGGGGGCGGGUGGAAAGUUUUUCGGCCAUGGAGGGGCUCGCGGCCUAUCAGCUUGUUGGGGGGGUAACGGCCCACCAAGGCGACGACGGGUAGCCGGCCUGAGAGGGCGACCGGCCACACUGGGGACUGAGACACGGCCCAGACUCCUACGGGAGGCAGCAGUGGGGAAUAUUGCACAAUGGGGGAAACCCUGAUGCAGCGACGCCGCGUGCGGGAUGAAGGCCUUCGGGUUGUAACCGCUUUCAGCAGGACGAAGCGAGAGUGACGGUACUGCAGAAGAAGCGCCGGCUAACUACGCGCCAGCACGCCGC
RNAcentral lists this ribosomal RNA (467 nucleotides) under uncultured bacterium. Its description in RNAcentral is "SSU rRNA". It matches the Rfam family "Bacterial small subunit ribosomal RNA", at positions 26 to 518 of the family's 1533-position model. The record is from RNAcentral.